CGAACCCAAACUGUUCCUUAAUUAAAUUUGGAUCCGACGGUUCCACUUACUAAAUACCCGAAAAUUUCGGAUCGGUUCAGUUCUCAUUAGAAUCGAACCGAAUCGGACCAUGUCCAGCCCUAUUUCAUUAUCCAAUGGAUUACAUGAUUUUCUUGGAUCUUUGCAAGCUUUUCUUUUAGGUAAAGUGUUCUAAGUUCAGUUUCUUCAUUCCUCAAACUAACUGUAGAUGACCACUCUGCCAUGCAGACCUCGAGUUUAUCACUUUUACUAAUCUUAGGUUCUUUACGUCAACGUUCACUCGAUGUACCAAUUUUGUCACAUCGACGAGUACUUGAAACCUCAUUGACUUCAUCACCAUUUUCCGUACAUACAUGUACUCCUCUAUUCAAAAAAUCUUUUUCUUGUUGCCUUUCUUCCUUUGAUGUGUUUGGAAGCUAAGUUGAGGUAUUGCCUAAUCCUUCAGAAGCUGUAGUUCCGCUAAAUAUCUUCCCAAGAGUGUGGUAUUGCUUACAUUCUUCUCUUUUGAACAUCUUGUAAUCCGAUUUGUUAAUCUAUCAUUGAAAAAAGAAGUCACAUUAUCAUAGUGUUCAACAAAAAAAUGUAAAAUUGAUAAGAUAAAAACUAAUGACGAAAAUAUUCUUUAAAAAAAAAAUAUGUAGCGUAUAAAAGUGUUGCUAAACUUCCUCUGCAACAUUAACUUUUGUUUGUAUUUGGAUCCCAUGUAACACCUGUAUAUCCCAAAAGUUCAAAGAACAUGCGAUGAAUCUUACGUAAGCGGUUUCACUUUCCCUUUAAUCUAUCUAUGUUGUUAUCCAUUUUUGUAUAAGCUAUCAUGAUUUCAUUGAUCCUAUCCCAUUCGUCUUUCGUGAAUAUAGAAUAUUGCAAUGCAUUUGAUUUCACUCUCUCGUAAAGAAUUUAUAAAAAUGUGUUCAUUCUCGUCCGACCAUGACAUUAGCUCCUUAUUCCUAACUCUGUGACUACCCAUGUUGAAGCUAUAUUGAAUAUACAUCAAAUUAUCAAGAAAUAUAUAACACUUUCCAUAGGCGAUUUGAGGAGGACAUUAAUGUAUUUAAUUAUAAUCACAUACCACCAAUUGCUCAAAACUCUUCAAGUUAAAUGUUUCAGUUUCAAUAUCCAGUAUAUUGCUCAAAAGUAUUAACCCAUUGAUAGGAAUAAUGCGGGGAAAACAAAGCAUAUUAGAAGUGCCUUGCCAUAACAUGUUAAGCAACACUAAAAUAACCUGCUCAAGUUUUAAAUUAUUUCCAGUAGAAAACCUUGAAGUGCCUUAGCAAAUAUACAAUAAACAAGUAAACGAUAUCAAAGCAUAUAAGCCAAAGAUAAUGUCAGUACUAAUGCAGGUUUCAUUUCUUGGAAUGUAAGCAAUAACAGACUUGUGGCAUCCAUUUUGAAGUGGCAAUAAAUGAUAAGAGAAACAAGAGAUGGAAAUAAUUGAAAUUUUGUCACUUCAUUGAGAAAGAAAGAGCUUCUAUGUCAUCCAAUUAUUAGUAUUCCAAACCAAGAAAUAUAAUUCAAUAUUCUAUUCUGAGUAGGCAAGUCAUCCAUACUUAUCAGUUUGUCCAUUUGUUAAAGUCAAUUUAUAAUGAGGACGUUAAAAUUUUCAAAACAUGUCAACAUCCAUCGAUAUAGAAAACAUAAUCAGUAUAAGUUCACAAGUUAAAGGCAUAGUUUGAUGGCUUCUUGAUAAUGGCAUGAAGCAUAUCCUUCUAUUACCUCAUAAAGAAACCAUUUUUAUUUCACAAACAAAAUUUGUUGUUUGAUAUUAAACAAUCCUACAGGACUUACUCUUGAAAACUCAAGUACAAUGAGUCAUACUUUUGGACAUGGACAAAAUUGGAAGGAUAUCUUAACUCUUUUUUUUCCUGAAAAGCUUUUUAUCUAAAACAAUAAAGCAAAGCAAAGCAAAGAAAUAACACCUCCUCUCAGAUUGUGUUUUUAUCUAAAACAAUAAAGCAGAGCAAAAUUGGGGAGAUUACUUAGCCGAGGAUUUGCCCUAGACCCCCUCCUCUCACCUCUCAACUACUGCACAUUUCCAUCAUUCGGCUCCCCAUUUUUAUCUCCACCAUUCUAAACUUCACCACCCCCUCCGCCUUUGUAUCUACCAUGGUCCUCCUCCUUAUUUACUGAACCAACUAUUACUUUCUCUCUUCUCCCCAACGAUGCAGUCGAAUCUCUCUCUCUCUC
Molecule: long non-coding RNA, 2202 nt
Filed under: Olea europaea subsp. europaea
Lineage: Eukaryota; Viridiplantae; Streptophyta; Magnoliopsida; Lamiales; Oleaceae
Source: RNAcentral